GAUGAACGCUGGCGGCGUGCCUAAUACAUGCCAGUCGAGCGAACAGACGAGGAGCUUGCUCCUUCGACGUUAGCGGCGGACGGGUGAGUAACACGUAGGUAACCUACCUAUAAGACUGGGAUAACUUCGGGAAACCGGAGCUAAUACCGGAUAAUAUUUCGAACCGCAUGGUUCGAUAAUGAAAGAUGGCUUUGCUAUCACUUAUAGAUGGACCUGCGCCGUAUUAGCUAGUUGGUAAGGUAACGGCUUACCAAGGCAACGAUACGUAGCCGACCUGAGAGGGUGAUCGGCCACACUGGAACUGAGACACGGUCCAGACUCCUACGGGAGGCAGCAGUAGGGAAUCUUCCGCAAUGGGCGAAAGCCUGACGGAGCAACGCCGCGUGAGUGAUGAAGGUCUUCGGAUCGUAAAACUCUGUUAUUAGGGAAGAACAAACGUGUAAGUAACUGUGCACGUCUUGACGGUACCUAAUCAGAAAGCCACGGCUAACUACGUG
This 497-nucleotide ribosomal RNA is filed under the name uncultured bacterium. Its description in RNAcentral is "partial 16S ribosomal RNA". It matches the Rfam family "Bacterial small subunit ribosomal RNA", at positions 28 to 507 of the family's 1533-position model. The record is from RNAcentral.